UAAACAUUGACAGUUAAUUACACCCACUGUCCGCCCGGGUACUACGAGCGCUAGCUUAAAACCCAAAGGACUUGGCGGUGCUUUAGACCCACCUAGAGGAGCCUGUUCUAGAACCGAUAAUCCCCGUUAAACCUCACCCUUCCUUGUUCUUUCCCGCCUAUAUACCACCGUCGUCAGCUUACCCUGUGAAGGCCCUAUAGUAAGCACAAUCGGCAAUGCCCAAUACGUCAGGUCGAGGUGUAGCGAAUGGAAGGGGAAGAAAUGGGCUACAUUUACUAAUAUAGUAAAUACGGAUGAUCACCCUGCAACGAGUAUCUGAAGGAGGAUUUAGCAGUAAGCAAAAAAUAGAGCGUUUUGCUG
Molecule: ribosomal RNA, 360 nt
Filed under: Chaetodon trichrous (Tahiti butterflyfish)
Lineage: Eukaryota; Metazoa; Chordata; Actinopteri; Chaetodontiformes; Chaetodontidae
Description: partial 12S ribosomal RNA
Rfam family: Bacterial small subunit ribosomal RNA
Source: RNAcentral